Bombus terrestris (buff-tailed bumblebee) is the source of this 2134-nucleotide long non-coding RNA. RefSeq lists it as uncharacterized. NCBI's taxonomy places the organism in Eukaryota, Metazoa, Arthropoda, Insecta, Hymenoptera, Apidae. The transcript is spliced from 2 exons. The record is from RefSeq and is a predicted model, not a curated record.
CGGCCAAGUACUAAAAGUGUUCCAUGCUACAAAAGACUAUUUCAUUGUACGGUUUUAUCCGAGAAGAAAUGGAAACCUUACCGUUUAAACGAUAAUGGAUUAGUGAAAUGAUAAAUAGUAACAAUUUUAAUAUAUUUUAUACACAAUAGGCUUUUAGAUUUAAUAUUAAAUUUGCUUUAUAUUAAAUAAUAAACGUUAUAAUAAAUCUUAAAUUUCACUUUAAUAGUCAUUUCAGUGGUUGAUAGGUUGUGAAUAAUAUCAGAGAGGAAGUUCCUCUUUGAUAGUAUUUCUGACGUAAUGUAUUUUUUUGCAUGUGUAUUUAUUUACAGAAACGAUAAAAACAGAAGAGAAAAUUAUGGCAGACAAGAUUUGACGUCAUGACUAAUUUAUUAACCAAAAUUUGUAUCUUUUACUUUGAAAAUUUAUUUGAAAAAUUUUUAUUUUACACGCUUAACAUUAAAGGUAAUGACAUAUAAUAGCACAAGAAAAAGAAAGAAAAUGAGAAAGAUCAAUGUGCUAGUGUGCUAUGGUGUAUUGGUCCGUGUCUAGUUAUAUUAUUCGUUAAAAGAGUAAGCCUUAGGCCUUAGGUCACCGCCGUCAAAGUUGUCUUUCGUCUCUACCAUCGUCUUAACAAAUACGUCGUCUUCAUUUGUUGGGCUAUAUCUCGUUUACGGUGAAAUUAAAUAGGUUUUUGUAUAUGCUAACGUGGAACACUAGGACUUGGCUUUAGGACUUGGCAGUAUGGCGCAGCAUUUGUACUGUGGAAUAACUAGAACAAUAGGUGUGAGCUCUCUCAUUGCCUCUCUGACAUAAUACAAAAAUAUGUACUUGUUAUUUUUUUCACAAGCUCACAACUCACACACAAGGUACAUGUGACCUACACCACUGUCAAAAUGAACGUAGAUAAAUCAGAACUUCCAUGAAUAAAUAUGGAAGUGACUUCCUCAUAUCGUUAGUCAUUUCUCAGCUAUUUAGCAAAAAUUUCUUAGUUAUAUAAAAAUAUAAAUCGAUACAACAUAAAACAAAUGAAAAUCUCGACUUUUUUCUCAAUACAACAUUUUCAUAAUCACCGAUACAUAUAAUAAAUGAGUUUGUAUUUCUUCUGUUAUAAAAUUUUCGGUACCGCUUUAAUAACGACAAAAUAUUAUAAAUGCAUCACAAAGUAAUUUUUUCUUUUUAUGAAAUAUUAUAUAAUACGAUUACGACGAUAGAUUAUGUUAAAACAUAUAGAACUUCACUCUAGUAAAUGCAACAAUUACACGGUUUUCAAUAAGAUAAUUAUAGUACAUGAAUUAUGAUAUCAAUACAUUUUUAAAUUAUAAGUUUGGAAAAUAUCAAACAGGAAAAUUUUUUAUAACAAAUUGUAACACAUCAUACAUUGAGUUAUGUCUGCUUUAUUUUUUCAUUGUACAUUGAUAGUAUUUAUACUAAUUAAAUUAGUAUAAUCUCUGAGGUGGUCCCAUAGAAGAUUUAAUGUGAAGAGAACGUACAUUUUGCCAGUGUUUUUUCAACAAUGAAACUAAAAAGUUAAUUGAAAGAUGUACAUUUUGUACCAAUUCAUCUGGAGUCAUUCCUACGUGACCUACAGCCACUGAUAAACAUAAUACCUGAAAAAGUUUUUCAAAUUACGUUUGAAUAUUAUAAAUUACAAUUUUAACAAGAAUUUGUAAGUAAAAUAUUUUUUAAAACAACGAAUAUGCAACAAAAUUUACCUUCUUCAUUUGGAAUUUAAUUGUAGCUUUCACCUCAUCAAUUUUCCCUACCAUUGACUCCUGAUGAGAUAAAAGACCAGGGAAUUUGCCAGCUUUGUUCAGACCAGGACCAAGAAUACGUGGAAUUUGUUUAAUUAAAGAUUCACUAGCUAAGAAGGCAUCAUACUUUUUAGCUGUAAAAAGCGAGUGCAAGUUAAUUUUUAAAUUAAAUUAUACAAAAGUUGAUUGAAAAGAUGUCUCGACACGGAUUGAGGUGCGAAGGAAUAAAACACAACGUCCUCACCAAGUGAAGAAUUUCAUUUUCUUCCAGUAGACGACCACUACUACAAAUUACAAACUAGCAAUGGUGCUUUUUGGAAGGCACAAAGAAAAGAAUUAAAUAGACAAAAUAAAAAAUUUCAAAUUACCUAGUUUCUUCACAA